GUCACAGACCUAAAUCACCUGAGGCUCUCAGGUCCAAGGCCACCAGGACAGAAUGCUGAGGGACCAGUUCAACAGAAUCCAGGUUUACCUCCGUAACCCCACGUCUCUGCUCUGAUGUCAAGGUUACAUCGGUCUUCUGGGUGUGAAGAGAAGCAGCAGUAUAAAGGACGGAGACGGAGACGCAGCAGGCACAUCUUCCUGAGAGACUUCACUGAUCUCCAUCUUCAGAGCUCCGUCUCCCUGCUGCUCCACCCGACCUCCACAAGAGUCUCUCCACCUGUUCCUGCCUCUUCUCCACCAUGAAGACAGGUGCUCUGCUCCUCCUGCUGGCAGUUGCUGACUGCGAAGGUCGGGACCCUGACUGUGGAUUCAUGGACUAUUGGAGACAGAUUAUUGAUCUUUGAUGUGAGCUCCUGCAGGCACUCAGGUGUCCCUUUACGAUACGGUGAGAAGAUAUCGGACCCAGAGAACUGUUCCACUUUACUCUGUAGUACGUCUGCAGUCCUCGGUCCCGUCAGUUCAUGUGAACCCGGAGACGUUUGCCUCGGCAACAACACAAAAAAAGAUCUAUUUGACAGCCGGACACAGCUGGGAGGAACCGGAGCACCGUCCAACAUCUGGAGGAGAGCCUGAAACCAGGAGAGAGGAGGUUGUCAGAGCAGCACACUAACAUCAGGAGUGACACGCACAAAGACACACACACACGAGCAGAGAGAGAGAGUGCAGAGGGCGAGUUGGGCGAGCUAGCGCUCCUCUCUCUCUCAAAGCUGCGUGGUCAGUUACGGAUUCCUGAGGGACGCCAUCGACACACGCGUGUGUGUGUGUGUGUGAGAAAUUAAUCAUUUUGCAAUUUUAACAUGAAAAAGAAGUGACAAAAAAUGUCAUGUUGCCCCGAACAACAUGAAAUCUCUGCUUCAAAAAAACCAACUGUUUCCUUCCAUAGAAUUAGAUGAUGAAUAAACAGGUUUACUGUCCUUUCUAUGUGUUGUACACUUUUUCUGUAUAGAUUUUUAAGUAUUAUGUAUUUUCUACUACGUAUCCUCAGCUUUUUCUUUCUUUUAAUCCAACGCAAUGUGACACUUUAUAAAAAACAUGAAAUGAUUAAUUGAUAAAAUAAGAAAAAAAAAAGAAAGAUAUUUUGACUUGUUGAUGGAGCUGGAACCUGACUCAUAAUGUGAUA
Molecule: long non-coding RNA, 1180 nt
Organism: Gasterosteus aculeatus aculeatus (three-spined stickleback)
Lineage: Eukaryota; Metazoa; Chordata; Actinopteri; Perciformes; Gasterosteidae
Source: RefSeq, a predicted model, not a curated record